Molecule: ribosomal RNA, 660 nt
Filed under: Kocuria rhizophila
Lineage: Bacteria; Bacillati; Actinomycetota; Actinomycetes; Micrococcales; Micrococcaceae
Description: bacterial SSU rRNA
Rfam family: Bacterial small subunit ribosomal RNA
Source: RNAcentral
UGAGUAAUACGUGAGUAACCUGCCCUUGACUCUGGGAUAAGCCUGGGAAACUGGGUCUAAUACUGGAUACGACAUGUCACCGCAUGGUGGUGUGUGGAAAGGGUUUUACUGGUUUUGGAUGGGCUCACGGCCUAUCAGCUUGUUGGUGGGGUAAUGGCUCACCAAGGCGACGACGGGUAGCCGGCCUGAGAGGGUGACCGGCCACACUGGGACUGAGACACGGCCCAGACUCCUACGGGAGGCAGCAGUGGGGAAUAUUGCACAAUGGGCGAAAGCCUGAUGCAGCGACGCCGCGUGAGGGAUGACGGCCUUCGGGUUGUAAACCUCUUUCAGCACGGAAGAAGCGAAAGUGACGGUACGUGCAGAAGAAGCGCCGGCUAACUACGUGCCAGCAGCCGCGGUAAUACGUAGGGCGCAAGCGUUGUCCGGAAUUAUUGGGCGUAAAGAGCUCGUAGGCGGUUUGUCGCGUCUGCUGUGAAAGCCCGGGGCUUAACCCCGGGUGUGCAGUGGGUACGGGCAGACUUGAGUGCAGUAGGGGAGACUGGAAUUCCUGGUGUAGCGGUGAAAUGCGCAGAUAUCAAGGAGGAACACCCGAUGGCGAAAGGCAGGUCUCUUGGGCUGUUACCUGACGCUUAAGGAGCGAAAAGCAUGGGGGAGCCG